UACGGAGGGAGCUAGCGUUAUUCGGAAUUACUGGGCGUAAAGCGCACGUAGGCGGCUUUGUAAGUUAGAGGUGAAAGCCUGGUGCUCAACACCAGAACUGCCUUUGAUACUGCAUCGCUAGAAUCGUGGAGAGGUAAGUGGAAUUCCGAGUGUAGAGGUGAAAUUCGUAGAUAUUCGGAAGAACACCAGUGGCGAAGGCGACUUACUGGACACGUAUUGACGCUGAGGUGCGAAAGCGUGGGGAGCAAACAGG
Molecule: ribosomal RNA, 253 nt
Filed under: uncultured bacterium
Lineage: Bacteria
Description: partial 16S ribosomal RNA
Rfam family: Bacterial small subunit ribosomal RNA
Source: RNAcentral